RNAcentral lists this unclassified non-coding RNA (605 nucleotides) under Hevea brasiliensis (rubber tree). The record is from RNAcentral. Lineage: Eukaryota; Viridiplantae; Streptophyta; Magnoliopsida; Malpighiales; Euphorbiaceae.
GGGAGGGUGACGGAUCUCUGCUGUUGUCAAAAUUGUAACUAGAAUCAUAAUUACCAUAUCUUGGAGGGUAGCUAGACAUAGAUGGACUGAAUACUGGGUCAACACCUGGAGGCCCUUCAUCAAGGGAAUCCCUAGACCCUCUUUGCUCGUGACGACGCCAUCUGCUAAUUGGUUCUGAAGAAUGGUUUGAUCUACGGAGUGAUCUAUUCCUAAAAGGAUCGUAGCUUGAAGGUCCAGCUGCCCAAAGUCUUUCAUCAGCAUUCUCUGGGAUUGGUUGGUGCAUUUAUUCCUGGAAAUUCAACAGCCAUUUUCUUUGGUGGGUCAGGGCAGUCUGUCUCAAUGAUUUCCCCAUCUUCCUGUUCUUCCUUGACAUCCUCAUCAGCAAAUAUUGUGAUCCCCGAUGGUUGAUCCUCAUCAUCUGGAUCUAGAUACCCUGGUGGAUAUCCCAAUUCUCGCAUUCUGUUAAGCCAAGGAGGUGGAUCAAGCUCCCCAAGACCCAAAAGCUGCCUUGUUUCAGCACCAAGAGCACCUGGCUUUAAACCAUCAUAUUUUCCACCAGAAGAGUUCUGAUAAUAUCGAGCUGAAUUGCGAGGGCCAGAAUUCUG